GGUCGAUUAGCUCAGUUGGUUAGAGCGCCGUACUAAUACCAUGCCCCAUGGGAAGGUGUCAUGCGGAUGUCAUGGGUUCGACCCCCACAUUGACCA
Molecule: transfer RNA, 96 nt
Organism: Puccinia triticina 1-1 BBBD Race 1
Lineage: Eukaryota; Fungi; Basidiomycota; Pucciniomycetes; Pucciniales; Pucciniaceae
Rfam family: tRNA
About the family: Transfer RNA (tRNA) molecules are approximately 80 nucleotides in length. Their secondary structure includes four short double-helical elements and three loops (D, anti-codon, and T loops). Further hydrogen bonds mediate the characteristic L-shaped molecular structure. tRNAs have two regions of fundamental functional importance: the anti-codon, which is responsible for specific mRNA codon recognition, and the 3' end, to which the tRNAs corresponding amino acid is attached (by aminoacyl-tRNA synthetases). tRNAs cope with the degeneracy of the genetic code in two manners: having more than one tRNA (with a specific anti-codon) for a particular amino acid; and 'wobble' base-pairing, i.e. permitting non-standard base-pairing at the 3rd anti-codon position.
Source: Rfam